UCCUGGGUUGUCUAGAGGUUAGGACUCAGUGCUUUCACUGCUGUGGCUUGGGUUCAAUCCCUAGUCAGGGAA
Ovis aries (sheep) is the source of this 72-nucleotide transfer RNA. It matches the Rfam family "tRNA". From Rfam's summary of the family: Transfer RNA (tRNA) molecules are approximately 80 nucleotides in length. Their secondary structure includes four short double-helical elements and three loops (D, anti-codon, and T loops). Further hydrogen bonds mediate the characteristic L-shaped molecular structure. tRNAs have two regions of fundamental functional importance: the anti-codon, which is responsible for specific mRNA codon recognition, and the 3' end, to which the tRNAs corresponding amino acid is attached (by aminoacyl-tRNA synthetases). tRNAs cope with the degeneracy of the genetic code in two manners: having more than one tRNA (with a specific anti-codon) for a particular amino acid; and 'wobble' base-pairing, i.e. permitting non-standard base-pairing at the 3rd anti-codon position. Lineage: Eukaryota; Metazoa; Chordata; Mammalia; Artiodactyla; Bovidae. The record is from Rfam.